CCAGACUCCUACGGGAGGCAGCAGUGGGGGAUAUUGCACAAUGGGGGGAACCCUGAUGCAGCGACGCCGCGUGGGUGAAGAAGCGCCUCGGCGCGUAAAGCCCUGUCAGCAGGGAAGAAAAUGACGGUACCUGAAGAAGAAGCCCCGGCUAACUACGUGCCAGCAGCCGCGGUAAUACGUAGGUGGCAAGCGUUGUCCGGAUUUACUGGGUGUAAAGGGCGUGUAGCCGGGUUGACAAGUCAGAUGUGAAAUCCUGCGGCUUAACCGCAGAACUGCAUUUGAAACUGUUGAUCUUGAGUACUGGAGAGGCAGACGGAAUUCCUAGUGUAGCGGUGAAAUGCGUAGAUAUUAGGAGGAACACCAGUGGCGAAGGCGUCUUACUGGAUCGAAACUGACGUUGAGGCUCGAAAGCGUGGGGAGCAAACAGGAUUAGAUACCCUUGUAU
Molecule: ribosomal RNA, 445 nt
Filed under: uncultured bacterium
Lineage: Bacteria
Description: partial 16S ribosomal RNA
Rfam family: Bacterial small subunit ribosomal RNA
Source: RNAcentral